This is a long non-coding RNA of Nerophis lumbriciformis (worm pipefish), 692 nucleotides long. RefSeq lists it as uncharacterized. Lineage: Eukaryota; Metazoa; Chordata; Actinopteri; Syngnathiformes; Syngnathidae. The record is from RefSeq and is a predicted model, not a curated record.
GAAGCUUAAAUCGAGUCCCGAUUCAAAUCUCAAAUAUACAACCUUGGCGACUACUCCAGAACGCGGUUUAUGUGUGUGGAUUUUAAACCGCUUCUUUUGUUUAAGUUGACCGUUUUUUCAAUGUCGAACGCAGUGGGCACUGCGUUCGACAUACAAAUACAAGGCGACAUAGUUGGCGUGAUCACCAUUGGAGACGAGAGACGCCUCUUCGGAUUGAUGCUAAAGCAGCUACUAAGCUAGCUGCUACUGUAAUGGCCACUAAGCCGAAGGGGAAACUGUCUAAAAGCUCACUCGGAGAUGACAGAAUUUUCGGCAGCUCAUUUGAUGAUGACAUACUGCCGGUAAGAAGGAAAUCAGGACGGGGUGGAUUACUACACAGGUAAGUUUGAUACAUUACUACAUACAUGACCCUUAAUGUUUAUGUGCAGUUUAUGUGAUUUAAAGGGGAACUGCACUUUUUUGUGGGGAAUUUUGCCCAUUGUUCACAAUCAAUAUGAAAGACAAGAAGAUACUUUUUUUUUUUGCAUUCUAACAUGUAAAAAUCGGCUCAUUCUAGGUGGCUAGCAAUGCAGCUAAUGGUAGCAAUCAAGUCUACCUCGAAAUCACUUUAAAAAUUAUUUAGAAAACUGUCAACAAUACUUAAUUUACGGUCCGUAACCUGUGUAAUAACCAAGCUGUGGCUACAUUGUUAU